This 424-nucleotide ribosomal RNA is filed under the name uncultured bacterium. RNAcentral's name for it is "partial 16S ribosomal RNA". It matches the Rfam family "Bacterial small subunit ribosomal RNA", at positions 354 to 795 of the family's 1533-position model. The record is from RNAcentral.
GUGGGGAAUCUUGCGCAAUGGGCGAAAGCCUGACGCAGCCAUGCCGCGUGAAUGAUGAAGGUCUUAGGAUUGUAAAAUUCUUUCACCGGGGACGAUAAUGACGGUACCCGGAGAAGAAGCUCCGGCUAACUUCGUGCCAGCAGCCGCGGUAAUACGAAGGGGGCUAGCGUUGCUCGGAAUUACUGGGCGUAAAGGGCGCGUAGGCGGACAGUUUAGUCAGAGGUGAAAGCCCAGGGCUCAACCUUGGAAUUGCCUUUGAUACUGGCUGUCUUGAGUUUGGGAGAGGUGAGUGGAACUCCGAGUGUAGAGGUGAAAUUCGUAGAUAUUCGGAAGAACACCAGUGGCGAAGGCGACUCACUGGCCCAAUACUGACGCUGAGGCGCGAAAGCGUGGGGAGCAAACAGGAUUAGAUACCCUGGUAGUC